GCUGAGUUCCAGAGUACCGCGGGACACGUGAAACCCCGUGGGAAACCGGGUGGACCACCAUCCAAGCCUAAAUACUACCUGAUGACCGAUAGAGGAGCAGUACCGUGAGGGAAAGGUGAAAAGGACCCCGGGAGGGGAGUGAAAUAGAACCUGAAACCUUGUGCUUACAAGCACUCAGAGCCCGUUAAAGGGUGAUGAGGUACCUUUUGUAGAAUGGUCCGGCGAGUUAUAGUAACGAGCAAGCUUAAGGCAUUCAGUGCCGGAGGCGCAGCGAGAGCGAGUCUGAAUAGGGCGUAUAAAGUUCGUUGCCAUAGACCCGAAACCGGGUGACCUAUCCAUGGGCAGGUUGAAGUGGAGGUAAAACUCCAUGGAGGACCGAACCGACCCCCGUUGCAAUGGUGGCGGAUGACCUGUGGAUAGCGGAGAAAUUCCAAUCGAACUCGGAGAUAGCUGGUUCUCCCCGAAAUAGCUUUAGGGCUAGCGUUAUGUUAGAUUACCGGAGGUAAAGCACUGAAUGGGCUAGGGGCUGAUAAAGUUACUGAACCCUAUCAAACUCUGAAUGCCGGCUAAUUGAUGCAUAGCAGUCAGACAGCGUGAGAUAAGUUUCGUUGUCAAAAGGGAAACAGCCCAGACCCACAGCUAAGGUCCCUAAUAUAUGCUAAGUGGAAAACGAUGUGGAGUUGCGAAAACAACCAGGAUGUUGGCUUAGAAGCAGCCACUCAUUAAAAGAGUGCGUAAUAGCUCACUGGUCGAGUGACUCUGCGCGGAAAAUAUAACGGGGCUAAGCAUGUAACCGAAGCUUGGGAUGCGGAAACGCGUGGUAGGGGAGCGUCGAAUGCGGGGUGAAGUCAGAGCGAGAGCACUGGUGGACUGCAUUCGAGUGAGAAUGCCGGAAUGAGUAGCGAGAAUUAUGUGGGAAUCAUAAUGGCCGAAAAUCUAAGGUUUCUUGGGGAAGGUUCGUCCGCCCAAGGUAAGUCGGGAGCUAAGGCGAGGCCGAGAGGCGUAGUCGAUGCACAUACGGUAGAAAUUCCGUAACCACCGAAACUUAAGCUAGAGGGACACUUAGGAAUAGGGGAACCCGGGCGUUGGUUGACCCGGGCGAAAGGGACUGAAAUAUAGUAGGGAAGUCUCCGAUGUCCUGAGGCGAGAAAAGCUCUAGUGGAUGCUAAGGUGCCCGUACCGCAAACCGACACAGGUAGAUGAGGAGAGAAUCCUAAGGCCAACGGGAGAAGGGUUGUCAAGGAACUCGGCAAGUUGACCCCGUAACUUCGGAAUAAGGGGAGCCUCGCAAGAGGCCGCAGUGAAUAGGCCCAAGCAACUGUUUACCAAAAACACAGGUCUAUGCUAAAUCGAAAGAUGACGUAUAUGGGCUGACGCCUGCCCGGUGCCGGAAGGUUAAGAGGAGGGCUUAGCGCAAGCGAAGGUCUGAAUUGAAGCCCCGGUAAACGGCGGCCGUAACUAUAACGGUCCUAAGGUAGCGAAAUUCCUUGUCAGGUAAGUUCUGACCCGCACGAAUGGCGUAAUGAUUUGGGCACUGUCUCGACAGCCCACCCGGCGAAAUUGUAGUACUGGUGAAGAUGCCAGUUACCCGCAACUAGACGGAAAGACCCCAUGGAGCUUUACUGCAAUUUAAUACUGAAGAUCGGUAAUGCAUGUACAGGAUAGGUGGGAGGCUGAGAAGCUUGGGCGUCAGCUCAGGUGGAGCCAACCUUGGGAUACCACUCUUGUAUUGCUGGUUUUCUAACCUGCGGCCCUGAAUCGGGUCGGGGGACACUGUUAGAUGGGCAGUUUGACUGGGGCGGUCGCCUCCAAAAGAGUAACGGAGGCGCUCAAAGGUUCGUUCAGCACGGACGGAAAUCGUGCAGUGAGUGUAAACGCAUAAACGAGCCUAACUGCGAGACCGACGGGUCGAGCAGUAACGAAAGUUGGAGUUAGUGAUCCGGUGGUAUGUGAGUGGAAAUGCCAUCGCUCAACGGAUAAAAGCUACCCUGGGGAUAACAGGCUGAUCUCCCCCAAGCGUCCACAGCGACGGGGAGGUUUGGCACCUCGAUGUCGGCUCGUCGCAUCCUGGGGCUGAAUUCGGUCCCAAGGGUUUGGCUGUUCGCCAAUUAAAGCGGCACGCGAGCUGGGUUCAGAACGUCGUGAGACAGUUCGGUCCCUAUCUGUUGCGGGCG
Molecule: ribosomal RNA, 2174 nt
Filed under: metagenomes
Description: bacterial LSU rRNA
Rfam family: Bacterial large subunit ribosomal RNA
Source: RNAcentral